UACGAAGGGGACUAGCGUUGUUCGGAUUUACUGGGCGUAAAGCGCGCGUAGGCGGAUCGCUAAGUCAGGGGUGAAAUCCCAAGGCUCAACCUUGGAACUGCCUUUGAUACUGACGAUCUGGAGAUCGGGAGAGGUGAGUGGAAUUCCGAGUGUAGAGGUGAAAUUCGUAGAUAUUCGGAGGAACACCAGUGGCGAAGGCGGCUCACUGGUCCGGUACUGACGCUGAGGUGCGAAAGCGUGGGGAGCAAACAGG
RNAcentral lists this ribosomal RNA (253 nucleotides) under uncultured bacterium. RNAcentral describes it as "partial 16S ribosomal RNA". It matches the Rfam family "Bacterial small subunit ribosomal RNA", at positions 524 to 776 of the family's 1533-position model. The record is from RNAcentral.